GGGGCUGCCUAUACAUGCAAGUCGAACGAACUCUGGUAUUGAUUGGUGCUUGCAUCAUGAUUUACAUUUGAGUGAGUGGCGAACUGGUGAGUAACACGUGGGAAACCUGCCCAGAAGCGGGGGAUAACACCUGGAAACAGAUGCUAAUACCGCAUAACAACUUGGACCGCAUGGUCCGAGUUUGAAAGAUGGCUUCGGCUAUCACUUUUGGAUGGUCCCGCGGCGUAUUAGCUAGAUGGUGAGGUAACGGCUCACCAUGGCAAUGAUACGUAGCCGACCUGAGAGGGUAAUCGGCCACAUUGGGACUGAGACACGGCCCAAACUCCUACGGGAGGCAGCAGUAGGGAAUCUUCCACAAUGGACGAAAGUCUGAUGGAGCAACGCCGCGUGAGUGAAGAAGGGUUUCGGCUCGUAAAACUCUGUUGUUAAAGAAGAACAUAUCUGAGAGUAACUGUUCAGGUAUUGACGGUAUUUAACCAGAAAGCCACGGCUAACUACGUGCCAGCAGCCGCGGUAAUACGUAGGUGGCAAGCGUUGUCCGGAUUUAUUGGGCGUAAAGCGAGCGCAGGCGGUUUUUUAAGUCUGAUGUGAAAGCCUUCGGCUCAACCGAAGAAGUGCAUCGGAAACUGGGAAACUUGAGUGCAGAAGAGGACAGUGGAACUCCAUGUGUAGCGGUGAAAUGCGUAGAUAUAUGGAAGAACACCAGUGGCGAAGGCGGCUGUCUGGUCUGUAACUGACGCUGAGGCUCGAAAGUAUGGGUAGCAAACAGGAUUAGAUACCCUGGUAGUCCAUACCGUAAACGAUGAAUGCUAAGUGUUGGAGGGUUUCCGCCCUUCAGUGCUGCAGCUAACGCAUUAAGCAUUCCGCCUGGGGAGUACGGCCGCAAGGCUGAAACUCAAAGGAAUUGACGGGGGCCCGCACAAGCGGUGGAGCAUGUGGUUUAAUUCGAAGCUACGCGAAGAACCUUACCAGGUCUUGACAUACUAUGCAAAUCUAAGAGAUUAGACGUUCCCUUCGGGGACAUGGAUACAGGUGGUGCAUGGUUGUCGUCAGCUCGUGUCGUGAGAUGUUGGGUUAAGUCCCGCAACGAGCGCAACCCUUAUUAUCAGUUGCCAGCAUUAAGUUGGGCACUCUGGUGAGACUGCCGGUGACAAACCGGAGGAAGGUGGGGAUGACGUCAAAUCAUCAUGCCCCUUAUGACCUGGGCUACACACGUGCUACAAUGGAUGGUACAACGAGUUGCGAACUCGCGAGAGUAAGCUAAUCUCUUAAAGCCAUUCUCAGUUCGGAUUGUAGGCUGCAACUCGCCUACAUGAAGUCGGAAUCGCUAGUAAUCGCGGAUUCAGCAGCCGU
Molecule: ribosomal RNA, 1353 nt
Filed under: Lactiplantibacillus plantarum
Lineage: Bacteria; Bacillati; Bacillota; Bacilli; Lactobacillales; Lactobacillaceae
Description: bacterial SSU rRNA
Rfam family: Bacterial small subunit ribosomal RNA
Source: RNAcentral